AACACAAAUGAGAGCUCAUAAUGUAACACCACUGCUAAAAUUCUAAAGCUUUUUCCCAGUAUGCAUGGAGAUGAAUUACAGAGUCUCUGGAAGAACCAGUCUGAUCCAUAACACACCCAACACAGGCCGACAUCUUACUAAAAUCUGAGAGGGACCAGUGUGGUGCCAGGUGUUUUCCAUCUGUCUGGACCCACUGGCUGCUGAAUUCAAGGACCCUGAUUCAUUACUCCCUGCGUCAUUUGCUGACCUUCCCAUGAG
RNAcentral lists this long non-coding RNA (258 nucleotides) under Zonotrichia albicollis (white-throated sparrow). RNAcentral describes it as "lncRNA (ENSZALG00000002569.1)". Lineage: Eukaryota; Metazoa; Chordata; Aves; Passeriformes; Passerellidae. The record is from RNAcentral.